RNAcentral lists this ribosomal RNA (228 nucleotides) under uncultured bacterium. RNAcentral describes it as "partial 16S ribosomal RNA". It matches the Rfam family "Bacterial small subunit ribosomal RNA", at positions 568 to 795 of the family's 1533-position model. The record is from RNAcentral.
UCCGUAGGCGGGCGAUUAAGUCAGAGGUGAAAUCCCACAGCUUAACUGUGGAACUGCCUUUGAUACUGGUCGUCUUGAGUUAUAGUGAAGUAGAUAGAAUAUGUAGUGUAGCGGUGAAAUGCAUAGAUAUUACAUAGAAUACCGAUUGCGAAGGCAGUCUACUAACUGUAUACUGACGCUAAUGGACGAAAGCGUGGGGAGCGAACAGGAUUUGAUACCCUGGUAGUC